This is a long non-coding RNA of Haemorhous mexicanus (house finch), 6298 nucleotides long. RefSeq lists it as uncharacterized. The record is from RefSeq and is a predicted model, not a curated record. Lineage: Eukaryota; Metazoa; Chordata; Aves; Passeriformes; Fringillidae. The transcript is spliced from 2 exons.
GCCGCGCUGGGUUGUGCGGGGGCUCGGGGCUCGCUGCGGGUCUCGGGGGCGGCAGGGGGCUCAGGCGGGUUGGUUGUGCCGUGUCCGGCCCGUGUUGCCCCUGGGCUGAGGGCGCUGCGGGAGCGGCUGCCCGCGGUCUCCUUCCCGCCGCUGCCUCGGCAGGAGCCGCUGCCGGAGCGGCGCUGGCUCGGCCCGGUUCCUGUGGCUGGGACAGAGGGGGCUGCCCCGCCGCCGGGGCUGUGCGGGGAAAUUCACGUCGGCGGAGGUUUCUGUGCCCGGAGGAGGCAGAGGAGUCCUGUAAAAGUGACUUUAUUGCUGAGCGGAGGGAGAGGCCGUGGGGCAUUUGCCGUGCGGUCUCUGCCAUUGUUGGAGUUCGCAGCCUACUUUUUAUUCUCAUUUUCCCGGCCUUAUUUCCCUCUCCCUGUGCCCACUGGCUGAGGUGCUUGGAAGGUUCAGACUUCCCGAUCCGCCUGCUGUAUGUCCUCGUUAAUGUGCACCCCCACUUUUGUUUAACAUCCGAUAUUCACGGGCUCUGUUAAGUCCUUGUUCUUCUCGAAGUUCAGGAAUCUAGCGGGACUUUGAGCAGGUGUCCGUGUAAAUUUGUAACAUUUUCUGGAACUGAUGGUUUCUCCCGUUACUUCCUUAUCUACAAGUCCCUGGCCCUAUCUCCAAACAGAUUCACUAAUUGACUCUGUUUUUUCUUCCUGGGUCCUCUUUGAUUUUGGGAUUAUUCUCAGUGCCCUCCUUCCCUGUCCUUCUGUAGCCGUUUCUGGAUCAGGAGGCCUGGCUGCCACCUGCACCCCCUGGCUCACCUGCUGAAUGAGCUGCACUCUCAAGGUGUGGAGCAUGGUAAAAAGAUGAGAGUUACUGUAGCACAUAAGAGGAGAAACUGUGUUCGUUUAACCCAUGGUCUGCCAGGGAGCCACAAAACUGUGUUCCAUACCCAUCCUUUCCAUGUUUGGACUGGUACAUGAGCUACUUUCUUGUUUCAUUUGUUAUCUGUUUCCCCACUUUUCCUUUGUCAUCUAUUUGCCAACAGCAGUUUAAGACAUUUAAUUUUCCAGAAACUCCACCUUUUUCUGCUAACAGAUGAUCUGAUCCCAUCCCCUGGUGAAAUGUUGUGUUCCUCAUUUCAGUGGAUUGGUCAGCAGGAAGGUCAGGAGCUGGAGCUGUCUGGUUGGUUAUUAUUUUGAGGACAGCUUGUAAUCUAAUGAUGCCAUUGAAAUGAGAAAUGGGUUCUGUGGCUCCUGAUUUGAAUUGGUUCAGGUUCCCAGGGGCUGGUCCAUGCUGUUGUAGGAUUUGUUCUGGUGGCUGUUGCUGUUUUCCCCAUUUUUGGGCACUCCCUCAGGAGCCAGGACUGCAUCAAUUGACUGCUUUUCUGUAAUUCAAACAUCACAUUCUUGGAUUCCUAACUGAUUUUCCUAAGUAACCGAAAAACACAAAAGACCCCCACCAAAUCCAAAAAUAAACUGAUCUAAUACACCCUAUAUAACACAGACAAUGACAGCAGGUGUUGCAGUGGGCAGAGGGAUGAUUCACCCCCAGCUUUUUUAAGUGUAGUUUUCAGAACUGUCCUAGGGUGACUGUUAUCCCCAUUCGUGUGUGUGUGUAAUUUACGCUGGAUAUUAUGUUCUGUGCCUUUAAGACUGGUGGAGUGUCAUGGUCUGAGCCUGGCGAAAUGCCAGUGCUUCCAUGAGAAAACCUCUUUUCCUGGUAUCUACUGUGAGAUGUGAUCAGAGACAGAGAAGAGCAGGCUCUAACUUAUGAUUGAAAGGAAAAAAACUUUAUUAACAUAAAACUACAGGGAAAAAACACACAGAACACGGGAUGAAAACCUUCCAAAUUUCCUCCUCCUCCCCCCACCAAAUUUCUUAAUUCCGUUGCCACCCUUUGGAUAAUCAAUUCUCAGUUCUUUGAGAAGAGAGGAGUCCCUCUUGCACUACAGACUUCACCCAGGAAACAGUCGAAACUUCUCGUGUCUCUGUGUCACGUGUGGCACCGCCCGGAGAACAUUUUGCCAUCGUGACCUCUUCCUUCCAUGUCCAGUGCUCUCACCACUGCACAUGGACCAGAGCUGCUUCUAGGGUUUUUCCCUUUAAGGAUGCUUUGUCCAGUUCCAAAAAAGAGCACAGUCCCUCUCCUUUUGGGACACCUGUCCCCCCCAUGUUUCACCCCCUGGGGCUGAGGGGUCUCUCGAACAGAGAUCAUCUUCCUCUUCUUCUUCAUCGAAGACGGAGGGCACCACCACCACCCUCCUCACCCGUCGUCUCUGUUCACACACUUUCACAUCACUGCACUUUCUUGGCUCUGAGCCAUUGCCUCCCCCUAGGAUGCAGUCUCUGUGUCACAGGAACUCAAGGGUUCUGUCCAUAGCUAUCCAAGAAAAGUCCAGCCAAAAGCCACUCCAUCAUCUCCUCCCACCUAGGAUUCUUCUCAACUUCUCUCAAUCUCACCAACUCCAGGAGGAAUCAGCAUUUGCAAGGUUUCCAUCGUCCCAAGAAGGGUUAAAAGUCCCAGGCUCUGCCGGUUUGGUUCAUGAACUCCCACGGCUGGCUGCCCUGCUGGGCACCCCCCCCUUCUCCUUCACUCCAGCCGCGCUAUCACAGGCACAGGCUGCUCUCUCUCUCUCCCUCCGGGGGGGGGAAUGGGGGAUGGCUGCCCGAAGCCCUCGCAGUGCAAUGCUCCUCCACCCUUCGGCCCAGGCCUGGCCUACCUCCCUCCGGCCGCAUGGCUCCCCUCCCCCCUGCCCAGCUCGGAGCUGGACAGGGGAGAGGUCUCCUCUGGUCCAGGGCCGGAACUCAAAAGGAACUUCCAGUGGGAGUUCACAGCUUUUAACCCCUGUGUUCUCAGAGGCGUAUCCAUGCCCUCAAUGGACAAACCAGGUGCCAAUAUUAAAAUCUGGACACCGAUUGGCGUGACCACACCAUCCCAAAAAAACCAUUUCCUCUCAAACCACGACAUGGAGUGAAGGUUUUGUUUUGGCCUCUUAUCAGCCACUCGGCGGGAUAUCCAGAUUGCACCAGUGCAUGUUGCUGCUUUUUGCUUCUUGCCCCUGCUUUUUUGCUUCUGCUUCGCUUCUGCUUUGCUUGCUCUUGCUUCCCCCCCCCCGUCCCUUCAUUAGUUAAUUUAGCUAAACAGUCCAAACUCCUUUCUGGACUGUUCCCCCCACCCCGUUGGACCUGCUGACUGCUCCGGACUGGGAUUUGGAGCACGGAGAGAGAGUUUGCACCUUGUGACUGCAGCAGCUGCCUCAGCGCCGGAGGGACUGAUAACAGAGCAAACCCCCAGGAGAGACUUUCUGAAUUUGUCAUCUUUGUCAGAGCAGUGGAAGAGUGGUGUCACCCGGUUUUGUUCAUUGUGUGUGCUGGGGGGUGCUGUGCCUGUUAAAUAAACAGGUUCUUUCCACCUCUCUCCGAGGAAUUCUUCCCGAACCGGUUGGGGGGAGGGGCUGUGUGGGUUUGUUUUAUGGAGAAGCCCUUUUUGGGGAUUCUCUCCCAAAUGUGCCCUAAACCAGGACACCUUUCCCUAUUAUUGUUGAUUUUAGCUUCCACUCUCCUUCCCUGCUUUUGGGUACUACCAUACUUUUUCUUGAUGUAAUCCAUUUUAAAAUGUCUAGGGGACCUAAACUGAUACCAUCCCAAUGCCAAAUUUCACUUAAGUGUGUCCCCCCCCCACACCCAACAAUCAGUCAGAUUAAAUUCUUUCAUAAUCUUUUCCACCAUAUUGAUAAAAAGAUUCUUUCCAUAUAUUUGUCCCUCUCUAUCCGUUUGCCUUUUCACUGGCAAGGAGAAAGAAGUUGCACUUCUUUCUCUUUGAAUGUAUCCUCUAAGUUGGUUUCACUUUCUUGUUCAAAACUUACCCAUCUUUCUUUCACAGGGCACUCUCAUGACAUCUCCUAGCUGGGGUUUGCAAUAGUUUUAGCCAGCUGUGAAAAAUGCAUAUUUUAUGAUUGGCUUUUUGCAAAUAUUAAAAUGAAUAUUAUGUGUUAUGUUAGGAAGUUAUGCAGUAUUAAUUUUCUUCAGUAGUGUGUUAAAUAUAGUUCUAGGUUAAAACAUAAUGUUAAAAUAGAAACGAUGUGUGUGGGCUAUUUUUUUAAAGAAAGGAACGAGGUAUUUCCACCGAGAUAGCAGCCACAGGACACCUAAAUCUUUCAGAGACAGAGAAUUUAUUGCUCCAUUAUCACAAGAAACAAUCUUCUUCCUGUCUUGCUCCACUCUGAAGAUGCCAUCAGGAUUCAGAGGAAGCAGCUGACACUGACCAGACAGAAUCCUGUGUUUGAAUGGAAUUUAUGCAUCAUGUAUGAAAUCUAUGAAUAUGCAACAGGCUUUUGUUUUUUGCAAGUAAUCCUCUGUUAAUGUGUGUCCUUUUUUUGGCUUAUUUUGCCCAGAAAGAGGUCCCUGGACCUUACAUAACUCUUUGUUCUUAUUGUCUUGUAUUGUCCUAAAACCUAAUUGUCAAAGUAUUUAUUGCUCUAAAUAUAUUACUAUUUUUAUAACCAUUUUAUGAUUAUUAAACUUUUAAAUUUUUAAAAACAAGUGAUUGGCAUUCUUUACACCACCCAAUAUAUUUUAUUAUCCUCUUUACAGGCUGUUAGCUGGGAGUGAUGGAUACAUUUGGGAUUCAUGUUUGUGUAUACUCUGAUUAAUGCACUUACUGUAUCUCCUCUAUCCAAGGGACAGUAACACUUCUCACAAGCGUUUCCUCCACUUCCUUUGCAGUCAGUGAGUAGCAGCACUGCUACCAGUGGCAGUCUGGUACGGACUGGCCUCCUCACCUCUGAUCCACAGGGGUUUUCUUGGUGCCCUGAGAGUUUUUCCCAGAUGGAGUUCCCGAUCCAGUCUUGCCUCCCACCUCUGGCCUUCCCUUCUUCUGGAGCCAUUCUGCCAUGACCCUUAUUGUAGCAACUGCCUUCCCUCAAUUUGGUCCCAAUUCGGGUUGCAAGGAGAGCGCUCUAUGGAACAGUACUGGAAACUGAGAUGUUAUUUUGACUGUCAACUCUGAGCUGAACAAAACUUGAACUUUAUAACUAUAACUGAUAAAAACGCGAGCAGGCUCCCAGUACCAAAGUGAUUUCAGCAUUUAUUACAAGAAAAAGAAAGGCCCAAAGCAAGGGGGCCCGCGGGCCGAGCAGGAGCGUUCCCGUCGAGGAUGCUGCAGCGCCGGCGCUGGGGCUGCCUCAGCAGCGAUGGCCCCGAUGUCCCAGGUGGAGCGGCACAGAUUCAGUGGGUCAGAAGCCCCUUUCUAUCCUGUUUUUGUCCCUUUGGAUUGGUUUCUUUUUGGAUCCUUCAUUUGCAUGAAGGUUUAAGGUGCUUGAUUGGCCCAUGGCAGUUCUGUCCAGGCUGGCUGGUUUCCCUUGGGGGUGGUGCCCUUUACUGAGUGUGCUCUGGGAAUCCUGAACUUCAUGUGCCAGAGGAAUCUUUAACUUUGUGUGCCCCGGGACUCCUGAAUUUCGUGUCUCCCGAGAAUCCUGACUUUCGUGUGCCCCCAGAAUCCUGAAUUUCAUGUGCUCUGAGAUUCUUGAAUUCCGUGUGCCCUAGUAUCCUGAACCUCGUGUGCCCCAGGAAUCCUGAACUUCAUGUUCCCUGGGAAUCCUGAACUUCACCUGUCCCUGCCUUUCUCAGACACUGGCUGCCACUGUCCUGUCCUCACUGUUUUCUUCAUUACUGCUCUGCAUUUUCUCCACACCAUAGCCACCCCCUGCUGCCUUGCCUGCACGUCCCCACAGUUCCACCUCCCUCAAAACUCCUGAUACAUCUCAAACUUCUGAUACAUCUCAGUGUCCUGGGUUGCCAAGCACAUUGUGUUCUAUUUGCCAUCUGCAUGGCAGUAGUCUUCUGAUAAUUGGGCAGUUUUCCUUAUCUCUUCCACCACCACUCCUCCCUCCAGAGACAUCUGCUGAUAACAGGCCAUUGAAUGUCACUGCAUGGCUGAUAACAACUAUGGCAUCCCAUUGGGAGAUGCUCUUCCCAGAGGGAGGAGCCAAGCAUUCCUACCCGGAUAUAAUCUGGAGAUUCUGGAACAGCAGCACGGCUUCUCCACUGGAUUCCCAGAGGAACAGCAGCUGCCUCUUCCCCUGGAUCUUCAGAGGAAGAACACACCCUUCUACAGGAUCCCUGCUCCAGCAGAACCACCCCUGACACUCCAGGAGGGCUACAGCCACAAUUCCAACUGGACUGCUGCCAACACCCUGACCCACAGGGUGUCACGUUGUGUUCUGAUUCUGGCAGUGUGGGUUUAGUUUACGGCAUUGUUUAUUUUAUUUUCUUCCCUAAUAAAGAUCUGUAUCCCUGCUCCCAUA